Molecule: long non-coding RNA, 1143 nt
Organism: Nematostella vectensis (starlet sea anemone)
Lineage: Eukaryota; Metazoa; Cnidaria; Anthozoa; Actiniaria; Edwardsiidae
Exons: 2
Source: RefSeq, a predicted model, not a curated record
GUGGGGGUCCGUGUCGUGUCCGUGUGGGGUCCGUGUGGGGUCUGUGUGAGGUCCAUGUCCACCAAUGGCUAAGUGCCUGGGCAACGUGACAAAAUGGGAUAUAAAAGGCCGGGCAACUUGCAGGCUUUUCGCCGUCAGUAACACCAGUGGUUUUCGGCCGAUCUUAAGGAAAACUUGUGUAAAAAAAUAAAUAUGUGCGCGAUAUAAAUCUUUCUAAAAAGCAUUCUUUUUCUAAUUACUGCUAUGAGACCACCACAGGAAUACCGCAUUAUAAAGCCUUGGCUAUACGAUUGGGGCACGUCGUUUCUGUAUGAUUUUGCAUUUGAAGUUUCCUCUUUAAAACUUGUCCAGCGGGCAUGUUAAGAGUGUCGAAAACGGCUGCGUAAUAUAUAUUCUAAGACUCUUACCAUUUACCAUGCAGUACAACGCGAAAGUAAUUCGCAGAUUGUGCAUCGCACAAAUUGUUGUUGGCGCGUUGAUGUUUAUCGUCGGCGUUCUCGCGUUGGUAAAUUCAUUUACUCCUUUUUUGGAUGAGGAGAAGAUAGAUGAUGGUCGGAAUAUAAGAGAAGGUUUCCGAAACAUCAGUUUGGCCUCUGGGUCGGCGGUUGGGUACUCAGCAACGUGGAAGUCUCCCUGACCGGUCCGUUCUUGUGUGAUGCAGCAUGAUCGCUUCCAACGAAAAGGAGUCUUAACUCGCGCUAUUCAAAUAGCGCCCCCACCCCCUUGAUAAUCUCCAUCCCCAAAGUUUCGUCACUGAACUCCAUCUUGAGCUCCCCCACCCCUGCAAAUGACGCAUUGAGUUCGAUUUCGUACGAUUAAUUACUCUGAAAUUCCUCGGGUUUCCCGAGCGACCAAUUUAACAUAAGGGUUCUUCUAUGGAGUUCGAUUGCUGAACCUUUGAUUGAUUACGCCGGGAUUACAUGGUAUUUCCGAUGGCAGAAGAGUACGUUAUCGUAAGAUCGAGUUUAUCGUUCGAUCCAGUAUCGUCCACUGUAACUACUGAACACAUUAACUAAAGUCAUUGUGUUGAACAGGCAAUAGGCACUGGCGUUUUGGGAUAUGCCGGAGUUAAAAAUGACAACACUCCAAAUAAGUGCUUGGUGAGUAUUAAGUCGGUGACGGUAAGGAUGGAUGUAGUUCUGA